GAGUGCGCGUCCGUAGCAAUACGGAUGGCGCACGGCGCACGGGUGCGUAACACGUGGGCAAUCUGCCCUUCGAUGGGGAAUAACUCCGGGAAACCGAAGCUAAUUCCGCAUAACAUUCCCGGGACUCCGGUUCGGGGAAUCAAAGCAGUGAUGCGUCGGAGGAGGAGCCCGCGCCCGAUUAGCUAGUUGGCAGGGUAACGGCCUACCAAGGCAAUGAUCGGUAGCUGGUCUGAGAGGAUGGCCAGCCACACUGGAACUGAGACACGGUCCAGACUCCUACGGGAGGCAGCAGUGGGGAAUCUUGCGCAAUGGGCGAAAGCCUGACGCAGCGACGCCGCGUGGGGGAUGAAGCUUCUCGGAGUGUAAACCCCUUUCGACUGGGACGAAUGCCCGCAAGGGAGUGACGGUACCAGUAGAAGAAGCCCCGGCUAACUACGUG
This 439-nucleotide ribosomal RNA is filed under the name uncultured bacterium. RNAcentral's name for it is "bacterial SSU rRNA". It matches the Rfam family "Bacterial small subunit ribosomal RNA", at positions 64 to 507 of the family's 1533-position model. The record is from RNAcentral.